This 446-nucleotide ribosomal RNA is filed under the name uncultured bacterium. RNAcentral describes it as "SSU rRNA". It matches the Rfam family "Bacterial small subunit ribosomal RNA", at positions 26 to 518 of the family's 1533-position model. The record is from RNAcentral.
AGAACGAACGCUGGCGGCAGGCUUAACACAUGCAAGUCGAACGCCCUCGCAAGGGGGAGUGGCAGACGGGUGAGUAACACGUGGGAACAUACCCUUCGGUUCGGAACAACGCCGGGAAACUGGCGCUAAUACCGGAUACGGCUUUUGAGCGAAAGAUUUAUCGCCGAAGGAUUGGCCCGCGUUCGAUUAGCUUGUUGGUGAGGUAACGGCUCACCAAGGCGACGAUCGAUAGCUGGUCUGAGAGGAUGGCCAGCCACAUUGGGACUGAGACACGGCCCAAACUCCUACGGGAGGCAGCAGUGGGGAAUAUUGGACAAUGGGCGCAAGCCUGAUCCAGCCAUGCCGCGUGAGUGAUGACGGCCUUAGGGUUGUAAAGCUCUUUCGCACGCGACGAUAAUGACGGUAGCGUGAGAAGAAGCCCCGGCUAACUUCGUGCCAGCAGCCGC